UGGCUCUCGCAUCGAUGAAGAACGCAGCGAAAUGCGAUAAGUAAUGUGAAUUGCAGAAUUCAGUGAAUCAUCGAAUCUUUGAACGCACCUUGCACUCCUUGGUAUUCCGAGGAGUAUGCUUGUUUGAGAGUAUUGUAAUCAUCAAUCCUCCUUUGCUUUUUGUGAAGGUUGGCUUGGAUUUGGAGAUUGCUGGUCACUUAGGUGGUUAACAGCUUCUCUUGAAUGCAUUAGUUGAAUGAAGUUGCAACGCUAUGUGUAGUGUGAUAAUUAUCUUCACUGCAUAGUUGUAAUGAAGUUUGGCUUCUAACAGUCUCUUCAAUGAGACAACUUUGAACAUUUUACCUCAAAUCAAGUAGGACUACCCGCUGA
Molecule: unclassified non-coding RNA, 369 nt
Filed under: uncultured fungus
Lineage: Eukaryota; Fungi
Description: partial contains 5.8S ribosomal RNA and internal transcribed spacer 2
Rfam family: 5.8S ribosomal RNA (bases 1-133)
Source: RNAcentral